RNAcentral lists this ribosomal RNA (484 nucleotides) under uncultured bacterium. RNAcentral's name for it is "partial 16S ribosomal RNA". It matches the Rfam family "Bacterial small subunit ribosomal RNA", at positions 30 to 507 of the family's 1533-position model. The record is from RNAcentral.
AUUGAACGCUGGCGGCAGGCCUAACACAUGCAAGUCGAGCGGAUGAAGGGAGCUUGCUCCUGGAUUCAGCGGCGGACGGGUGAGUAAUGCCUAGGAAUCUACCUGGUAGUGGGGGAUAACGUCCGGAAACGGGCGCUAAUACCGCAUACGUCCUGAGGGAGAAAGUGGGGGAUCUUCGGACCUCACGCUAUCAGAUGAGCCUAGGUCGGAUUAGCUAGUUGGUGGGGUAAAGGCCUACCAAGGCGACGAUCCGUAACUGGUCUGAGAGGAUGAUCAGUCACACUGGAACUGAGACACGGUCCAGACUCCUACGGGAGGCAGCAGUGGGGAAUAUUGGACAAAGGGCGAAAGCCUGAUCCAGCCAUGCCGCGUGUGUGAAGAAGGUCUUCGGAUUGUAAAGCACUUUAAGUUGGGAGGAAGGGCAGUAAGUUAAUACCUUGCUGUAUUGACGUUACCAACAGAAUAAGCACCGGCUAACUUCGUG